Polistes canadensis is the source of this 1452-nucleotide RNA transcript. It is a transcript of the gene named transcription initiation factor TFIID subunit 8, with no coding region annotated. The transcript has 6 exons. The record is from RefSeq and is a predicted model, not a curated record. Lineage: Eukaryota; Metazoa; Arthropoda; Insecta; Hymenoptera; Vespidae.
UAUUUCUGUCUGUUUUUAGAUUAGAGAGUUAUAGAGUUUACACGCAUAUAAUAUGCGUUAUAGAGUUACCUCCAUAAAGAGUAGUAUAAAGUACAUUUUGUUUAAUUAUAAAUAAAAUGGAUGUACAAUCGGUCAAUACCCGAAGAAAAAUAUUAAAUCAUGUUGUUUGCAGUAUUUUAGUAGAAUGUGGUUAUGAUACUUGUGAAAAACAAGUGUUGGAAACUCUGACUGAGAUGCUUCAGUCUUUUAUCGUGGAAGUUGGGCAAUCUGCAAGAAAUUAUUGUGAACUUUCUGGGAGAACAGAACCUCUAAUUGCAGAUGUUAUAUUAGCAUUGGUAAAUAUGGGUAUAAAAUUGGAAAAUUUAGAAAGUUAUGGGAAGAGAUCAAAUAGAACAGUUUUACCUCCAUUACAACAACAAACUCAGUCAAAACAAUUAAAUAUUUUACAAGCUGGUGUAAAGCAAAGUCAUCCCUCGCAUAUACCCAAUUAUUUACCAGCUUUUCCAGAUCCACAUGCAUAUAUCAGAACACCUACACAUAAACAACCAGUAACUGAAUAUGAAGCUAUAAGAGAAAAAGCUGCUACACAAAAACGAGAUAUCGAAAGAGCCUUAACAAGAUUUAUUGCAAAAACUGGGGAAACACAUAGUUUAUUUUUAACAGAAGAUAACAGCAUGUUUCCUUUAAUAGCUUGUAAACCACAAUUUCCUAGUUAUCUCUCUGCACUUUUACCUCAAGACCAAAUAUUUGAAACAGAUCAAGACUUUCAAUUUGAACCAACACCUGUUAAAAAGAAAAAAGAACAGAAAGGAGAAGAAAAAGAGGAAGGUGUUAAUGUACAAAGUGAAGGCGCAGAACAAACUAAUGAGGCUACUGCACAGCAAGAUGGUAUAGAUAAUCCUUACUUACGUCCUGGAAAAAUACCUAAAAAUAAGAUACCUGGUGCUAUAGUCCCUUCGCAGCAUUUAAUAAAAAGAGACUCCUUUGUCGAUACUUAACAACUUCACAAAUAUCUCAAGUGUAUAUACAAGAUCAACAAUAUUUAUAGUUAAUUUUUUAAAAGAAACGCUAUAAAAAAGCAACUAUAAUAUUGCACGCGUUAGCACCAGUUGAAUGAUGUUAAUGAAAUUACUAUAAAACUAUGGAGGACUUUUUUAUGUGAGUAGCACAUAUUUUUUUACAAAAAUAUAAUUUCUUAUUGCUCUAAUGUGAUUAUGCACAUUUUCUACCCCGGUAUACAUCAACAUAAAAUAUAUAUAUAUACAAAUAGCAUCUAAUACAAAUUUUGCAUAAUAUAUAAUUUGCAAAAAUAUAUUGUAGUACUCUAAUUUUCGUUAUUUAUGUGCAAUGUGUAUUAUGAGAAAAUUGACACUAUUUCUUUAUUUUAGUAAAAAUCGUGAUGUGAAAUUCUAUAAUAAAAUAUUUUUCCCCCAGGAACAAAUAACUAAUGUU